RNAcentral lists this ribosomal RNA (253 nucleotides) under uncultured prokaryote. RNAcentral's name for it is "partial 16S ribosomal RNA". It matches the Rfam family "Bacterial small subunit ribosomal RNA", at positions 524 to 776 of the family's 1533-position model. The record is from RNAcentral.
GACGAACCGUGCGAACGUUGUUCGGAAUCACUGGGCUUAAAGGGCGCGUAGGCGGACAGCCAAGUCUGUGGUGAAAUCUUUCGGCUCAACCGGAAAAUGGCCGUGGAUACUGGCUGUCUUGAGGGAGGUAGGGGCCCGUGGAACUUCCGGUGGAGCGGUGAAAUGCGUUGAUAUCGGAAGGAACGCCGGUGGCGAAAGCGGCGGGCUGGAUCUCUUCUGACGCUGAGGCGCGAAAGCUAGGGGAGCAAACGGG